Molecule: long non-coding RNA, 446 nt
Organism: Osmerus eperlanus (European smelt)
Lineage: Eukaryota; Metazoa; Chordata; Actinopteri; Osmeriformes; Osmeridae
Exons: 3
Source: RefSeq, a predicted model, not a curated record
UGACGAAUCAAAGAAGCUCAUUGAUGAAUAAUUCAGAUAGUUUGCUUCGGGGAGUGACGCAGACAAUGCAGAGUACUUUUUCGUUUAAUUUUUGUCUUAAAACAAAUCAACCAAACAAAUAAUUAUACAAACUGUCAACGAAAACCGUAGUUCCCAGCGUGGAACUUGAAACCUGUACUUUUCGGUCGGUCAGUGUCACGCAUCGUAAAGGGCUUCCUUAUGCCGAUUCAUGUGGUGUAGCUGCUAGGAAAAGAUGCCGCAGUUGAAAUCCAGAAAGAUAGCCAUUCUGGGAUACAGAUCCGUGGGGAAGUCUUCUCUGACCAUUCAGUUUGUGGAAGGACAGUUUGUAGAUGCCUAUGAUCCCACGAUUGAGAACACGUUUACUAAGAUGAUCAGUGUGAACGGGCAGGACUACCAUCUCCAGCUGGUCGACACAGCAGGGCAGG